Molecule: unclassified non-coding RNA, 236 nt
Filed under: Mollisia sp.
Lineage: Eukaryota; Fungi; Ascomycota; Leotiomycetes; Helotiales; Mollisiaceae
Description: partial contains 5.8S ribosomal RNA, internal transcribed spacer 2, and large subunit ribosomal RNA
Source: RNAcentral
CGCACAUUGCGCCCUGUGGUAUUCCGCAGGGCAUGCCUGUUCGAGCGUCAUUAUAACCACUCACGCCUGGCGUGGUGUUGGGACCCGCGGUUCCGCGGUCCUCAAACCCAGUGGCGGUGCCUGUGGGCUCUAAGCGUAGUAAUACUCCUCGCUAUAGGGUCCCGCGGGUUGCCCGCCAGAACCCCCAAAUUUUCUAGGUUGACCUCGGAUCAGGUAGGGAUACCCGCUGAACUUAA